UCGAGGAUCUUCGGCAAUGGGCGAAAGCCUGACCGAGCGACGCCGCGUGUGCGAUGAAGGCCUUCGGGUUGUAAAGCACUGUCGUGGGGGAGAAAAGGGGCAACCCUUGAUCGACCCCAGGAGGAAGCUCGGGCUAAGUUCGUGCCAGCAGCCGCGGUAAGACGAACCGAGCGAACGUUGUUCGGAAUCACUGGGCUUAAAGGGCGCGUAGGCGGGCCAUCAAGUCAAGGGUGAAAGCCCCCGGCUCAACCGGGGAAGUGCCUCUGAUACUGGUGGUCUCGAGGGAGAUAGGGGCGUGCGGAACUUCCGGUGGAGCGGUGAAAUGCGUAGAUAUCGGAAGGAACACCGGUGGCGAAAGCGGCGCGCUGGAUCUCUUCUGACGCUGAGGCGCGAAAGCCAGGGGAGCGAACGGGAUUAGAUACCCGCGUAGUCC
RNAcentral lists this ribosomal RNA (433 nucleotides) under uncultured bacterium. RNAcentral describes it as "bacterial SSU rRNA". It matches the Rfam family "Bacterial small subunit ribosomal RNA", at positions 355 to 796 of the family's 1533-position model. The record is from RNAcentral.